RNAcentral lists this unclassified non-coding RNA (128 nucleotides) under plant metagenome. Its description in RNAcentral is "partial contains 5.8S ribosomal RNA, internal transcribed spacer 2, and large subunit ribosomal RNA". The record is from RNAcentral.
GUCUUUGGUAGUGAAAUCCAGCACCGGGUUGCCGAAGGUCUGGCUAAAGCUCUGCCAGUUUCUCUCACCUGGAACCGUAUUCGUGUAAUCGAGCGCAAACGAAUUCCAGUCGCCAUAGGUAUAGGAGC